AUUGUGAGCUCGAUGAGUAGGGCGGGACACGUGGUAUCCUGUCUGAAUAUGGGGGGACCAUCCUCCAAGGCUAAAUACUCCUGACUGACCGAUAGUGAACCAGUACCGUGAGGGAAAGGCGAAAAGAACCCCGGCGAGGGGAGUGAAAAAGAACCUGAAACCGUGUACGUACAAGCAGUGGGAGCCUCUUAAUGGGGUGACUGCGUACCUUUUGUAUAAUGGGUCAGCGACUUAUAUUCUGUAGCAAGGUUAACCGAAUAGGGGAGCCGAAGGGAAACCGAGUCUUAACUGGGCGUUAAGUUGCAGGGUAUAGACCCGAAACCCGGUGAUCUAGCCAUGGGCAGGUUGAAGGUUGGGUAACACUAACUGGAGGACCGAACCGACUAAUGUUGAAAAAUUAGCGGAUGACUUGUGGCUGGGGGUGAAAGGCCAAUCAAACCGGGAGAUAGCUGGUUCUCCCCGAAAGCUAUUUAGGUAGCGCCUCGUGAAUUCAUCUCCGGGGGUAGAGCACUGUUUCGGCAAGGGGGUCAUCCCGACUUACCAACCCGAUGCAAACUGCGAAUACCGGAGAAUGUUAUCACGGGAGACACACGGCGGGUGCUAACGUCCGUCGUGAAGAGGGAAACAACCCAGACCGCCAGCUAAGGUCCCAAAGUCAUGGUUAAGUGGGAAACGAUGUGGGAAGGCCCAGACAGCCAGGAUGUUGGCUUAGAAGCAGCCAUCAUUUAAAGAAAGCGUAAUAGCUCACUGGUCGAGUCGGCCUGCGCGGAAGAUGUAACGGGGCUAAACCAUGCACCGAAGCUGCGGCAGCGACACUAUGUGUUGUUGGGUAGGGGAGCGUUCUGUAAGCCUGUGAAGGUGGCCUGUGAGGG
Molecule: ribosomal RNA, 872 nt
Filed under: Escherichia coli
Lineage: Bacteria; Pseudomonadati; Pseudomonadota; Gammaproteobacteria; Enterobacterales; Enterobacteriaceae
Description: partial 23S ribosomal RNA
Rfam family: Bacterial large subunit ribosomal RNA
Source: RNAcentral